GACGAACGCUGGCGGCGUGCUUAACACAUGCAAGUCGAACGGAAAGGCUCCAGCUUGCUGGAGUACUCGAGUGGCGAACGGGUGAGUAACACGUGGGUAAUCUGCCCUGCACUCUGGGAUAAGCCUUGGAAACUGGGUCUAAUACUGGAUAUGACCUUUCUCCUUAUGGGGUUUGGUGGAAAGUUUUUCGGUGUAGGAUGGGCCCGCGGCCUAUCAGCUUGUUGGUGGGGUGAUGGCCUACCAAGGCGACGACGGGUAGCCGGCCUGAGAGGGUGAUCGGCCACAUUGGGACUGAGAUACGGCCCAGACUCCUACGGGAGGCAGCAGUGGGGAAUAUUGCACAAUGGGCGGAAGCCUGAUGCAGCGACGCCGCGUGAGGGAUGACGGCCUUCGGGUUGUAAACCUCUUUCAGCAGGGACGAAGCGUAAGUGACGGUACCUGCAGAAGAAGCACCGGCUAACUAUGUG
Molecule: ribosomal RNA, 467 nt
Filed under: uncultured bacterium
Lineage: Bacteria
Description: partial 16S ribosomal RNA
Rfam family: Bacterial small subunit ribosomal RNA
Source: RNAcentral